UACGGAGGAUGCGAGCGUUAUCCGGAUUUAUUGGGUUUAAAGGGUGCGUAGGCGGUCCGUUAAGUCAGCGGUAAAAUUGCGGGGCUCAACCCCGUCGAGCCGUUGAAACUGGCAGACUUGAGUUGGCGAGAAGUACGCGGAAUGCGCGGUGUAGCGGUGAAAUGCAUAGAUAUCACGAAGAACUCCGAUUGCGAAGGCAGCUUACCAGUCUGCGACUGACGCUCAGGCACGAAAGUGUGGGUAUCGAACAGG
Molecule: ribosomal RNA, 252 nt
Filed under: uncultured Bacteroidales bacterium
Lineage: Bacteria; Pseudomonadati; Bacteroidota; Bacteroidia; Bacteroidales
Description: partial 16S ribosomal RNA
Rfam family: Bacterial small subunit ribosomal RNA
Source: RNAcentral